This 502-nucleotide long non-coding RNA is filed under the name Brassica rapa (field mustard). RNAcentral's name for it is "long non-coding RNA (BRAP_LNC003068)". The record is from RNAcentral. Lineage: Eukaryota; Viridiplantae; Streptophyta; Magnoliopsida; Brassicales; Brassicaceae.
CAAUGAUCAUCGGUUACCUAUUUAAUUAAUGGCUAAUGAUUCAUCUAGGAAGAAGAUUUUGAAUAAAAACGCAAUGAAAUUCACAUUUAUUUAGAUAUGUUAAAAGUAAUAUUUUAUAUAUAUAUAUAUAUAUAUAUAUUUUUUAUUCUCUUUAUUACUGGUUUCGCUUAUUUUUAGGUGUUAGUUUAUAUUGUGAAAGUGGUGGUCGCUUUCUAUUUGGAUAAUGCGUGUGCAUAUAAUGAACUUUAGAUCACGAAGAUGGUCAUAUCUCCAACGUAUCAAUUCAUCAAAUCAGCUUUGAUCUUAAGCAGUUUCAUUUUUUUUAUUUUUUUCACUUCAUUUCUUGUUAUUGAAAACAAUAGAAUUAUUGCAACUCUCUUAAUCCCAAUUAUUUUACUUUUUAAUAAUAGAAAUAUUACAAUUCUUAUCAUCCUAUGUACAUGUUUAGUGUGCUUUAAGCUCUAAACAUAUAUAAACACCACAUACAUGAAUUAGCUUGUGG